RNAcentral lists this ribosomal RNA (253 nucleotides) under uncultured bacterium. Its description in RNAcentral is "partial 16S ribosomal RNA". It matches the Rfam family "Bacterial small subunit ribosomal RNA", at positions 524 to 776 of the family's 1533-position model. The record is from RNAcentral.
UACGUAGGGGGCAAGCGUUGUCCGGAAUCAUUGGGCGUAAAGCGCGUGUAGGCGGUCCGGUAAGUCCGCUGUGAAAGUCCAGGGCUCAACCCUGGGAUGCCGGUGGAUACUGUCGGGCUAGAGUACGGAAGAGGCGAGUGGAAUUCCCGGUGUAGCGGUGAAAUGCGCAGAUAUCGGGAGGAACACCUAUUGCGAAGGCAGCUCGCUGGGACGUCACUGACGCUGAGAAGCGAAAGCAUGGGGAGCGAACAGG